Molecule: transfer RNA, 73 nt
Filed under: Nerita versicolor
Lineage: Eukaryota; Metazoa; Mollusca; Gastropoda; Cycloneritida; Neritidae
Description: tRNA-Leu
Rfam family: tRNA
About the family: Transfer RNA (tRNA) molecules are approximately 80 nucleotides in length. Their secondary structure includes four short double-helical elements and three loops (D, anti-codon, and T loops). Further hydrogen bonds mediate the characteristic L-shaped molecular structure. tRNAs have two regions of fundamental functional importance: the anti-codon, which is responsible for specific mRNA codon recognition, and the 3' end, to which the tRNAs corresponding amino acid is attached (by aminoacyl-tRNA synthetases). tRNAs cope with the degeneracy of the genetic code in two manners: having more than one tRNA (with a specific anti-codon) for a particular amino acid; and 'wobble' base-pairing, i.e. permitting non-standard base-pairing at the 3rd anti-codon position.
Source: RNAcentral
UAUGGGGUUGGCAGAGAGUAAUGCAGUUGACUUAGGAUCAACAGACAAAAACUUAGUAGUUUUUACCUCAUAA